UCUGACGGAGCAACGCCGCGUGAGUGAUGAAGGCUUUCGGGUCGUAAAUCUCUGUUGUUAGGGAAGAACAAGUGCUAGUUGAAUAAGCUGGCACCUUGACGGUACCUAACCAGAAAGCCACGGCUAACUACGUGCCAGCAGCCGCGGUAAUACGUAGGUGGCAAGCGUUAUCCGGAAUUAUUGGGCGUAAAGCGCGCGCAGGUGGUUUCUUAAGUCUGAUGUGAAAGCCCACGGCUCAACCGUGGAGGGUCAUUGGAAACUGGGAGACUUGAGUGCAGAAGAGGAAAGUGGAAUUCCAUGUGUAGCGGUGAAAUGCGUAGAGAUAUGGAGGAACACCAGUGGCGAAGGCGACUUUCUGGUCUGUAACUGACACUGAGGCGCGAAAGCGUGGGGAGCAAACAGGAUUAGAUACCCUGGUAGUCCACGCCGUAAACGAUGAGUGCUAAGUGUUAGAGGGUUUCCCCCCUUUAGUGCUGAAGUUAACGCAUUAAGCACUCCGCCUGGGGAGUACGGCCGCAAGGCUGAAACUCAAAGGAAUUGACGGGGGCCCGCACAAGCGGUGGAGCAUGUGGUUUAAUU
This 579-nucleotide ribosomal RNA is filed under the name Bacillus mycoides. RNAcentral describes it as "bacterial SSU rRNA". It matches the Rfam family "Bacterial small subunit ribosomal RNA", at positions 382 to 951 of the family's 1533-position model. Lineage: Bacteria; Bacillati; Bacillota; Bacilli; Caryophanales; Bacillaceae. The record is from RNAcentral.